CACGUAGGCGGGUAUUUAAGUCAGGGGUGAAAUCCCAGAGCUCAACUCUGGAACUGCCUUUGAUACUGGGUAUCUUGAGUAUGGAAGAGGUAAGUGGAAUUCCGAGUGUAGAGGUGAAAUUCGUAGAUAUUCGGAGGAACACCAGUGGCGAAGGCGGCUUACUGGUCCAUUACUGACGCUGAGGUGCGAAAGCGUGGGGAGCAAACA
RNAcentral lists this ribosomal RNA (207 nucleotides) under uncultured bacterium. Its description in RNAcentral is "partial 16S ribosomal RNA". It matches the Rfam family "Bacterial small subunit ribosomal RNA", at positions 568 to 774 of the family's 1533-position model. The record is from RNAcentral.